RNAcentral lists this ribosomal RNA (30 nucleotides) under Pocillopora sp. PG-2017. Its description in RNAcentral is "partial 28S ribosomal RNA". The record is from RNAcentral. Lineage: Eukaryota; Metazoa; Cnidaria; Anthozoa; Scleractinia; Pocilloporidae.
AAACCUCAGAUCAGGCAAGGCUACCCGCUG